RNAcentral lists this ribosomal RNA (467 nucleotides) under uncultured bacterium. RNAcentral describes it as "partial 16S ribosomal RNA". It matches the Rfam family "Bacterial small subunit ribosomal RNA", at positions 28 to 507 of the family's 1533-position model. The record is from RNAcentral.
GACGAACGCUGGCGGCGUGCUUAACACAUGCAAGUCGAACGGAAAGGCCCCAGCUUGCUGGAGUACUCGAGUGGCGAACGGGUGAGUAACACGUGUGUAAUCUGCCCUGCACUCUGGGAUAAGCCUGGGAAACUGGGUCUAAUACUGGUUAUGACCUUUCUCCUUAUGGGGUUUGGUGGAAAGUUUUUCGGUGUAGGAUGAGCCCGCGGCCUAUCAGCUUGUUGGUGGGGUGAUGGCCUACCAAGGCGACGACGGGUAGCCGGCCUGAGAGGGUGAUCGGCCACAUUGGGACUGAGAUACGGCCCAGACUCCUACGGGAGGCAGAAGUGGGGAAUAUUGCACAAUGGGCGGAAGCCUGAUGCAGCGACGCCGCGUGAGGGAUGACGGCCUUCGGGUUGUAAACCGCUUUCAGCAGGGACGAAGCGUAAGUGACGGUACCUGCAGAAGAAGCACCGGCUAACUAUGUG